CACACAGACCACAGGACCAAAAGACUUCACAAGGAAUGACAGAAGCUUUUCCAUUAAUAGCACAAGUUCCUUUUCUCCCUCAUCAGUCUGAGACUCUAGGACUGAACCUUUGCAACCAGGAGACAAGAGAGUUGCUAUCAGCACUUAAACCUCCCAAGUGGUGUUAUUUCUUAGAGAACUGGGCCAGAACUGAGCAAUUCUCAUGUGCCAGCAGUGCUUUGAGGAGGGGCAAGACAACAUCCCACUUCUGUCUGGAAAAAUUUGACUAUAAUAAAAAGUCAUUUCCCUUUCUUUCUCUCUGACCCAUAACCAAAGAAGCCGUGUAGAACAACACGGAGUAUUUAGGGGAGGCUUGAUUUAUCGCCGGCCAGGGGCUAUGUACAAACCACGAAUGGAACGGGACUGCUGUGGAACGUGCCUUGAGUUGUUUUAUUUUUCAGUUUCAGGGGAAUAUUGAUACAGUUUAUAAACACUCUCAUUCCCUGCAACUCAGUCCUUCACGGUGUAUCCCCGAAAUGGAUUUACUGCAUUCUUUGUUCCCAACAGCACCUCUCCAGCCCAAAUCCCACUUCUCACAGACACAAACUAAGCAAAGCUAAGGCAAUGGUUCCAUCAGCACCUGCGAUUCUGAGUUCCCUGUUCCCUGGAUAGCUCAUCCAAGCACUCAGCAAUUUCACCUCGGCCCAGAAACUCAGAUCUCUGUCCUCAGAGGGAAACAAAACCUGAUGGGACACAGCUCUGGCACCACAAUUCCUCUUCCUCUCCUCCUUUUUCCAGCAAACCGGGCUGCUGGAAAUGGCAUUCCCUAGGGAGUUCAUCUCAGCAGAGAGGAAAAGAGCAGCCUAAGUGGGAGCACGGGUGACGGGGUCAGCGGCUCCAGGGGCGGGUGGGAGGCACACGGGUGACGGCAGCCAGCGGCGGGACCAGCUCCGUCCCGGGCGCGCCGCUCCUGCGAGGAUCCCCCAGCGCCACGAAGGCUGGAUGAGUGUCGCUGAUUUAUCUAUAAGCCAGUUCUGAAGCCCUCUGCGGAGAUCUGCCUGGGAGGAAAAGCAGAGCCAAGCACUGAGAACUGACAUGUGAGCUCUGGUGAGGACUGCCACUCCCCCUGCCUUGGUGUGGGGCCUCCUGAGCUCCCAUUCCUGUGCUGGGAGUGUUUAUCCUCUCAUCCAGCCUAGCCAGAGACCUCCUAGGGAACAAGCAGCUUCUCCGCUUUUGCCGCUCCUCUCGAUAUUGCUGCCCUGUUGAAGGCUCUGCCCAGAUGCCCCGGCGCAUCAGGGUAGUGCCCCCAGCUGCUAGCUGCUGCUGUGCUCCCAGCUAGCCGGCGUGGCCUCCCCCCCGC
Molecule: long non-coding RNA, 1339 nt
Organism: Serinus canaria (Common canary)
Lineage: Eukaryota; Metazoa; Chordata; Aves; Passeriformes; Fringillidae
Exons: 3
Source: RefSeq, a predicted model, not a curated record